GUCACGAACCCACCGCCCACGCCUAACGGCUAUAACGGGGGCUUGAAAAAGUCCAUGACGUGACCAGCCUAAGACUAUUGAGUCUACGUUUUUUGAGCUAUCACACCUUUAGAUGCGUCGCUAGUCUUCUGCUCUGUGGUUAAUAGUUAAACAGUCAUAAACGGGUUAAGACAGUGCUAUUAACAAGACAAACUCAAAAAACAUUGGCUAAGCGAACUCAC
This is a non-coding RNA of Lyngbya majuscula, 221 nucleotides long. The record is from Rfam. Lineage: Bacteria; Bacillati; Cyanobacteriota; Cyanophyceae; Oscillatoriales; Microcoleaceae.